UGUUGUUUUUAAAGUGCUUUGUAAAUAAAGCUGAAUUGAAUUGAAUUUUUCCAUGGAAUAUUUAAAUGGCUAGAGAAUUUUGUCCUUUUAGAUGAAAAAUUAAAAAACAAAACAAAAAAACAACUACAAGUCAUGUAUGACCGCCCAACUUCUCUGCCCAACCCUUAAGUCCAGAGGUCAACCUUAUGUGUAAAACACAGAAAGACAAAAAUGAGUGCUGAAACACAGACAAACAAGAGCCAGCCACGUCUCGGAGGCGGUGGGGAUGAUCUGAUUGGAGGGCAGGAUGAAACCAUAGCGACCAGUGUCCCUCAGCUCGAAGGCGUAGGAGUAUUUGAUGCCCAGGUCGUAAGCCCAGUCAAUGCUGCCGCCACUGGCUUGAUCUGAGGGGAAGAGGAAGUGGGGAGGACGUGACAGCAACAGCCCCAAUAUUGUCAGCAGCAGCUCUACUAAGUGAUGCUGUUCAGGCUGAUCGGGCACCUUGCCACAGGAGUAGCCAUAAGGGUACAUGAGCAGCUGGGAGUAGGCGUGGACGGAGAUGAAGGACUUGAAAUUGCCAUGGCUCCUGAUCAGAUUCACCACGUUCUUCACCUC
Scatophagus argus is the source of this 594-nucleotide long non-coding RNA. RefSeq lists it as uncharacterized. The record is from RefSeq and is a predicted model, not a curated record. NCBI's taxonomy places the organism in Eukaryota, Metazoa, Chordata, Actinopteri, Scatophagidae. The transcript has 3 exons.